GAUGAACGCUAGCGGCAGGCUUAAUACAUGCAAGUCGAGGGGCAGCAGGACGGUAGCAAUACCGUUGCUGGCGACCGGCAAACGGGUGCGGAACACGUACGCAACCUACCCCAAGCUGGGGGAUAGCCCGGGGAAACCCGGAUUAAUACCCCGUAACAUAAUAGAAAGGCAUCUUUUUAUUAUUAUAGCUUUUAGUUGGUUUGGGAUGGGCGUGCGGCUGAUUAGGUAGUUGGUUGGGGUAACGGCCCACCAAGCCAAUGAUCAGUAACUGGUGUGAGAGCACGACCAGUCACACGGGCACUGAGACACGGGCCCGACUCCUACGGGAGGCAGCAGUAAGGAAUAUUGGUCAAUGGACGCAAGUCUGAACCAGCCAUGCCGCGUGGAGGAUGAAGGUCCU
This 400-nucleotide ribosomal RNA is filed under the name uncultured bacterium. RNAcentral describes it as "bacterial SSU rRNA". It matches the Rfam family "Bacterial small subunit ribosomal RNA", at positions 28 to 418 of the family's 1533-position model. The record is from RNAcentral.